This 727-nucleotide ribosomal RNA is filed under the name bacterium IMCC11705. Its description in RNAcentral is "bacterial SSU rRNA". It matches the Rfam family "Bacterial small subunit ribosomal RNA", at positions 28 to 747 of the family's 1533-position model. The record is from RNAcentral.
AUUGAACGUUGGCGGCAGGCCUAAUACAUGCAAGUCGAGCGGAAACGAUGGGAGCUUGCUCUCAGGCGUCGAGCGGCGGACGGGUGAGUAACGCGUAGGAAUCUACCCAGUAGCGGGGGAUAGCCCGAGGAAACUCGGAUUAAUACCGCAUACGCCCCACGGGGGAAAGGCCGGGAUCUUCGGACCGGUCACUAUUGGAGGAGCCUGCGUAGGAUUAGCUUGUUGGUGAGGUAAAGGCUCACCAAGGCUACGAUCCUUAGCUGGUCUGAGAGGACGAUCAGCCACACUGGAACUGAGACACGGUCCAGACUCCUACGGGAGGCAGCAGUAGGGAAUAUUGUGCAAUGGGCGAAAGCCUGACACAGCCAUGCCGCGUGUGUGAAGAAGGCCCUAGGGUUGUAAAGCACUUUCAGUAGGGAGGAAUUAGUAGGGUUAAUAACUCUGCGAAAUGACGUUACCUACAGAAGAAGCACCGGCAAACUCCGUGCCAGCAGCCGCGGUAAUACGGAGGGUGCGAACGUUAAUCGGAAUUACUGGGCGUAAAGCGCGCGUAGGUGGUUUAUUAAGUGGGAUGUGAAAGCCCCGGGCUUAACCUGGGAACUGCAUUCCAAACUGAUGAACUAGAGUACGAUAGAGGGGGGUAGAAUUCAGAGUGUAGCGGUGAAAUGCGUAGAUAUUCUGAGGAAUACCGGUGGCGAAGGCGGCCCCCUGGAUUGAUACUGACACU